RNAcentral lists this ribosomal RNA (497 nucleotides) under uncultured bacterium. RNAcentral describes it as "partial 16S ribosomal RNA". It matches the Rfam family "Bacterial small subunit ribosomal RNA", at positions 28 to 507 of the family's 1533-position model. The record is from RNAcentral.
GAUGAACGCUGGCGGCGUGCCUAAUACAUGCAAGUCGAGCGAACGGACGAGAAGCUUGCUUCUCUGAUGUUAGCGGCGGACGGGUGAGUAACACGUGGAUAACCUACCUAUAAGACUGGGAUAACUUCGGGAAACCGGAGCUAAUACCGGAUAAUAUUUUGAACCGCAUGGUUCAAAAGUGAAAGACGGUCUUGCUGUCACUUAUAGAUGGAUCCGCGCUGCAUUAGCUAGUUGGUACGGUAACGGCUUACCAAGGCAACGAUGCAUAGCCGACCUGAGAGGGUGGUCGGCCACACGAGAACGGGGACACGCACCAGACGCCUAAGGGAGGCAGCAGUAGGGAAUCGUCCGCAAUGGGCGAAAGCCUGACGGAGCAACGCCGCGUGAGUGAUAAAGGUCUUCGGAUCGUAAAACUCUGUUAUUAGGGAAGAACAUAUGUGUAAGUAACUGUGCACAUCUUGACGGUACCUAAUCAGAAAGCCACGGCUAACUACGUG